GCAGCCAAGGAUGACUUGCCG
RNAcentral lists this microRNA (21 nucleotides) under Zea mays. The record is from RNAcentral. Lineage: Eukaryota; Viridiplantae; Streptophyta; Magnoliopsida; Poales; Poaceae. RNAcentral also lists the same sequence under 3 other names.